GCCUAACACAUGACAAGUCGAGCGGAGAUAAGUGAAGCCUAGCGACUCUUAUCGUUAGCGGCGGAGUGGGUGAGUAACACGUGGGUAACCUGCCCUGCACUGGGGAAUAACAGCUGGAAACGGCUGUUAAUGCCGCAUAUGCGCACGGAGCCGCAUGGCUUUGGGCGGAAAGAUUUAUCGGUGCAGGAUGGGCCCGCGCCGGAUUAACUAGUUGGCGGGGUAACGGCCCACCAAGGUGAUGAUCCGUAGCCGACCUGAGAGGGUGACCGGCCACAUUGGGACUGAGACACGGCCCAAACUCCUACGGGAGGCAGCAGUGGGGGAUAUUGCACAAUGGGGGAAACCCUGAUGCAGCGACGCCGCGUGAAGGAUGAAGUAUUUCGGUAUGUAAACUUCUAUCAGCGGGGAAGAAGAUGACGGUACCCGACUAAGAAGCCCCGGCUAACUACGUGCCAGCAGCUGC
RNAcentral lists this ribosomal RNA (463 nucleotides) under uncultured bacterium. Its description in RNAcentral is "bacterial SSU rRNA". It matches the Rfam family "Bacterial small subunit ribosomal RNA", at positions 46 to 518 of the family's 1533-position model. The record is from RNAcentral.